Molecule: long non-coding RNA, 752 nt
Filed under: Homo sapiens (human)
Lineage: Eukaryota; Metazoa; Chordata; Mammalia; Primates; Hominidae
Description: HSALNT0015151
Source: RNAcentral
GCUUGAACUCAGAAGGCAGAGGUUGCAGUGAGCUGAGAUUGAGCCACUGCACUCCAGCCUGGCUGACAGAGCGAUCUUUUAGAAUGAUCUUUUAAGAAACUGAAAUCAGAGUACGCCCUCUCCUGCACUCUCAGUGUAACCUCCGCCUCCCGGAUUCAAGCAAUUCUCCUGCCUCAGCCUCCUGAGUAGCUGAGAUUACAGGUGUGUGCCACCACACCCAGCUAAUUUUUGUAUUUUUACCAAGUUGGUCAGGCUGGUCUCGAUCUCCUGACCUCGUGCAGCUGCUCAAUACGCAUUUGCUGAAUGAUAAAUCGAUGGGAUGUUGGAAGACUGAACUGCAGGAUGAGGCCUUGAUAUAUGCAGUGGCAUGAAAACAGGAGGUGAAUUCUAGACAUAUUUAGGAAGGGGAAUUGGCAGGACCUGUAAUUUGAAUGGGGUGGAGUUAUUACAGAAGUUGUAGAUUCUAGAAUGACUUCCAGGUUUCUUGCAUGGGAAAGAAGAGGAAUGCUGGAAUCAUUCACUAAUACAGAGGGGAAGCAGGUAGGGGCAGGGGAAAUGGGGAGAUGAAUUUUGGCCAAAAGUUUUCCACUGAGUUUGCAGUUGGGUCAUGGUGAUGUGAACAUGAAUAGCUUCAGUGGGGUAGGCAGAAGUCAGAUUGCGGUCAACUUGGUGGCAAUUGGGAGAUGAAGACAUGGAAGUAGAUAUACACUGCCCUUGAAGACAGCUUUCUAGGAGCAUGGAUGGGAGAGGAA